AGAUUGAACGCUGGCGGCAUGCCUUACACAUGCAAGUCGAACGGCAGCACGGGAGCAAUCCUGGUGGCGAGUGGCGAACGGGUGAGUAAUAUAUCGGAACGUGCCCAGUCGUGGGGGAUAACGCAGUGAAGCUGUGCUAAUACCGCAUACGAUCUAUGGAUGAAAGCGGGGGACUCGCAAGAGCCUCGCGCAGUUGGAGCGGCCGAUAUCAGAUUACGC
Molecule: ribosomal RNA, 219 nt
Filed under: uncultured soil bacterium
Lineage: Bacteria
Description: partial 16S ribosomal RNA
Rfam family: Bacterial small subunit ribosomal RNA
Source: RNAcentral